CCUUCAUAUUUGUAGCAAGUUAGCUUUUUGUUUGUUUUGGUCGCAGACAAGGACUGACGAGGUUCACCUUCAAGAUGUUUUUCUCUUCAGUCUAAAGCUGCUCUUGAAGUUUUGUCUGGUGAGAAGAAACUAGAGACACCAGCUCUUCAGCUCUCUCAGAUCAGAUUUUGAAAGUCAUCUUCUGCAUCCUGGGAGAGGAGAAACAGAAAGAACACUGCAGACAGACACACAGUGACCAGGAGAGGAAACAGGAGCAGGUCGGAGGUGCCGGUGGUCGUCACAGCGCCCCCAGUGAGCACAAUCCAGUCAUACAUCUCUUGUAAUUCCCGGGCUUCUUCCCUGUAUGCUCCACUAGAGGACGGGGUCACUUACAAGGACACAAAGGACACAGUGAUGAGAAGAAGACAGUUGAAGGAGACACGGUUUACAAGAUGAAGCAAUAAAAAGCAGCUAAACAUCAAACUGUGACAAAGCGGUGGCACCUGUGAGGUAAAAGUAGAGGGUGACAACCGGCCCGUCCUCACUGAUGACCUGACAGCGAUACGUCCCCUCAUGCUCCUGCCCAACCGAUUGGAAAGAAAACAGUCUGUCCUCCCCCGCCGUCACCUCCUCAAAAGAACCCAAAUUGGUGGUUUUCACCUGUGACACACACACACAGAUCAGUGAUGCUUCUCUGCACAACUGCACACACACAUUUCACAGACGAAGGAGCCUGAAUGAUGUCUGUGAGCAACGUGUACCUUUGCUGCAAAACUCCAGAUCCUCACCACCUGACCGCGUACGGAGAACGGGGCGUCGCACCACAGCUGGGCCCUGUAGUUGGCCCCGUGGUCCAACCCAGUCUCCUAAAAGCAGCCGUCAGUCUGCAGCAGCCAAAACAUCACUUUGGCCUUUUCCAGUCACUUUCGGGAUUGGUCACUCAUGGCUGCAUGACCAUGUGUUGUUGUGGCUCCCCACACUCACAUUGACUGAAUCUGAGGUAAUUGGGUGUGAAAUGAAUUGCCCUUUUAGGGAUCAAUAAAGUUGUUUGAAUCUGAAUCUGAAACCUCAAGCUGCAAAACUGCUCUUGAAACACACAUUUAUGCUGAAAUAUGUUCUAAUAGUCAUAAUUUCCAACAAUGCCGGGUGCAUAUACAAAAAAAAAAAAAAAAAAAAAAAGAGUACUUCGAGAGAACAUAUCUCCACCAAGAUUGACAUAAAAGACGAUAACGUAACGAGAAAUAUUCAUCUUCAAGUUGACAAACUUGGCUUAAAGGUUUAAUUAUUUUGUUGUGUUCACUCCGUGAGAAUGAAAAAUAUUUUUGUGAAAAAUAAAGAGCUGAUUCAGAGACCACUUUCUUAAUUUACCCCCUUAAAAUUCAUAUUUUUGAUCCACAAAAUAUGGAUCUUUGGUAGGAGUCUUAGACAAAUUAAAUAUAUUCAAAUGUCUCAUAAUGGUAAUACCUGAUCCACUAAAAAAAUGUAUAUUUUCCACAUCGGCCCAAAUAUCACGCUACUAUCGAUUUUCAAGAAAAAGUAUCUGUCGAUACAGAUGAUACUUUAUAAACAUCAAGUAUUUUGAAGAAGAGCACUCACCUCUGUCCAGCAAGCGAUGGCAGUACUGAGUCUUAGAAAACAGAAGUAGUAGAAAACCAGAAAACCUGCUGCUUCCAGACACGCACACGUAAUAAAUGGUGUUGACGGUUAAUCACUAACGUUUAGACUAAAAACACUUUACAAUCGUGCACCUUAAAAGCGUUGCUUGAUGGCGCAACAGCGUGUUUUAGGGGAGGGCGGGGGAUUUCUUGCACAAACAAACGUUAUUUACACUCCAAUCCAGCAGGUGUCAGUAUUUCACCUUAAACCAGGCUGGCAACCGUCGUAAAAAAAAACCAGAAGAAGAAAUAGAAACAAACCACGCUUCGAUACACUGAAUCCUUUUUGGGUUCAUGACUGAGGUCUUCGGUAUAAGCGGUAAAAUAAAAUCUUUAUUUUGGAGCAUUAUACCGUAAUUUAUUAUUUUAUGUGGAUCUGUUCGGGAAUUUUUAAAGAAGCUGAAAGUGCUUUACAGUGAUGUCUGACGUUCACACCGAUGUCAGGGUG
Long non-coding RNA from Thalassophryne amazonica, 2082 nucleotides. RefSeq lists it as uncharacterized. The transcript is spliced from 4 exons. NCBI's taxonomy places the organism in Eukaryota, Metazoa, Chordata, Actinopteri, Batrachoidiformes, Batrachoididae. The record is from RefSeq and is a predicted model, not a curated record.